RNAcentral lists this ribosomal RNA (380 nucleotides) under Pandalus nipponensis. RNAcentral's name for it is "partial 16S ribosomal RNA". It matches the Rfam family "Bacterial large subunit ribosomal RNA", at positions 1957 to 2543 of the family's 2925-position model. The record is from RNAcentral. Lineage: Eukaryota; Metazoa; Arthropoda; Malacostraca; Decapoda; Pandalidae.
UAGCAUAAUCAAUAGUCUUUUAAUUGGAGGCUGGAAUGAAGGGUCGGACAAGGGGGAAGCUGUCUUUUUUACAAUUUUUGAAUUUUACUUUUAAGUGAAAAGGCUUAAAUGGGUUGGGGGGACGAUAAGACCCUAUAAAAUUUUACAGAGUCGGGAUCUUUUUUUAAAUUAGUGUUUAAAUUCUAUAGGUUCUUGUUUGUUUUGUUGGGGCGACAAAGAUAAAAUUUAGUAACUGUCAUUUAAUUAGAAUAAGUAUAAUUAGUUUAGUUGAUCCUUUAUUAGAGAUUAAAAGAUUAAGUUACUUUAGGGAUAACAGCGUAAUUUUUCCCUGAGAGUUCUUAUCGACGGGAGUAGUUGCGACCCCGAUGUUGAAUUAAGGA